This 766-nucleotide ribosomal RNA is filed under the name uncultured bacterium. Its description in RNAcentral is "bacterial SSU rRNA". It matches the Rfam family "Bacterial small subunit ribosomal RNA", at positions 740 to 1504 of the family's 1533-position model. The record is from RNAcentral.
CUGACGCUGAGGUACGAAAGCGUGGGUAGCAAACAGGAUUAGAUACCCUGGUAGUCCACGCCGUAAACGAUGAUAACUAGCCGUUGGGGGGAUUUACCCCUUAGUGGCGAAGCUAACGCGUUAAGUUAUCCGCCUGGGGAGUACGGCCGCAAGGUUAAAACUCAAAGGAAUUGACGGGGACCCGCACAAGCGGUGGAGCAUGUGGUUUAAUUCGAUGCAACGCGAAGAACCUUACCUGGUCUUGACAUCCUGAGAACUUUCUAGAAAUAGAUUGGUGCCUUCGGGAACUCAGUGACAGGUGCUGCAUGGCUGUCGUCAGCUCGUGCCGUGAGAUGUUGGGUUAAGUCCCGUAACGAGCGCAACCCCUAUCCUUAUUUGCCAGCACAUCAUGGUGGGAACUAUAAGGAGACUGCCGGUGAUAAACCGGAGGAAGGCGGGGACGACGUCAAGUCAUCAUGGCCCUUACGACCAGGGCUACACACGUGCUACAAUGGGAAGGACAAAGAGCCGCGAAGCCGCGAGGUGUAGCUAAUCUCAGAAACCUUUUCGUAGUCCGGAUCGGAGUCUGCAACUCGACUCCAUGAAGUCGGAAUCGCUAGUAAUCGUAGAUCAGCAUGCUACGGUGAAUACGUUCCCGGGCCUUGUACACACCGCCCGUCACACCAUGGGAGUUGGUUUUACCCGAAGACGGUAUCCUAACCUUUUUGGAGGGAGCCGGCCACGGUAGGGUCAGCGACUGGGGUGAAGUCGUAACAAGGUAGCCGUA